UACAGAGGGUGCGAGCGUUAAUCGGAAUUACUGGGCGUAAAGCGCACGUAGACGGCUUUGUAAGUCGGAUGUGAAAUCCCCGGGCUUAACCUGGGAACUGCAUUUGUGACUGGCGAGCUAGAGUAUGGCAGAGGGGGGUAGAAUUCCACGUGUAGCAGUGAAAUGCGUAGAGAUGUGGAGGAAUACCGAUGGCGAAGGCAGCCCCCUGGGCCAAUACUGACGCUCAUGCACGAAAGCGUGGGGAGCAAACAG
RNAcentral lists this ribosomal RNA (252 nucleotides) under uncultured bacterium. Its description in RNAcentral is "partial 16S ribosomal RNA". It matches the Rfam family "Bacterial small subunit ribosomal RNA", at positions 524 to 775 of the family's 1533-position model. The record is from RNAcentral.